This 584-nucleotide long non-coding RNA is filed under the name Phoenix dactylifera (date palm). RNAcentral describes it as "long non-coding RNA (PDAC_LNC021230)". Lineage: Eukaryota; Viridiplantae; Streptophyta; Magnoliopsida; Arecales; Arecaceae. The record is from RNAcentral.
UGGAUGCUGAUUGGUUUCAGUUGAUCAAUUGAUACCUUUAUAUGUUUCAUGACAGUUUUCAAGCCUAGGAACCAAGCCCUUGAUCAUGACUAAAACCUCUCUGCUUCUGGCAUCUUCAAUCUUAUAAGCAUAGCAUGCAUUCCCCGUCAAACACUUAAUCUUCAUGGCUUGGUCCUCUUGGUCAUACAUAGUUCUUCUUUAGUGUUUGUGUCUAUAUAUGUUUCUGUGUGGAGUGUGCAUGCUUUUUCAAAAGAAUAAUAAUAAUGACAGGGUGUAGACAAUAUCAUGUCUACAGAAGAUUUAUUUUUCUUGACCUCUUGCUAUAUAUAUGUGUGUGUGUGUGUGUGUAGAUAUAUAUGUAUAUAUAUGAGAGAGAUAUGAUGAAGAACCUAGGACCUCUCUAUUAAAGGAAGGAAUGUCAACCACAUGAGAUAAGUCUGGUUGGCUUUUCCCGUAUUGUUUUACUCAUGACUGUUUCUCUAUUCAUUUGAUGACCAAAUAUCUUCUUAAUAACCUUGUUUCUCACUUGUCAGUUCCUGUUCCAUUCAAAUGUUUCUAUUGAUAUUUGUCUGUUUCUUUGAUUG